AACGAACGCUGGCGGCGUGGAUAAGACAUGCAAGUCGAACGAUCACUAUCGGGUAGCAAUAUCCGGCAGCGGUAGUGGCGCAAGGGUGCGUAACACGUGGGUAAUUUGCCGUAAAGUCUGGGAUAACUUGCUGAAAGGCGAGCUAAUACCGGAUGUGAUUGCUGGAGGGCAUCCUCUGGCACUUAAAGUCGGGGACCGUAAGGCCUGACACUUUUCGUAUAAGCCCGCCGGCCUAUCAGCUAGUUGGUGAGGUAACGG
Molecule: ribosomal RNA, 258 nt
Filed under: uncultured bacterium
Lineage: Bacteria
Description: partial 16S ribosomal RNA
Rfam family: Bacterial small subunit ribosomal RNA
Source: RNAcentral